Molecule: long non-coding RNA, 699 nt
Filed under: Prunus persica (peach)
Lineage: Eukaryota; Viridiplantae; Streptophyta; Magnoliopsida; Rosales; Rosaceae
Description: long non-coding RNA (PPER_LNC004816)
Source: RNAcentral
UGAUAAUAAAAAAAAAAAAAUGCAUACCCAACAUCUGUAGUUUUUACCUUCCUACAUGUAAGGAUAGUCAAUGGGCCAGGUUGGGCUGGGCUAGUCUAGCCCAAGCCCAGUGGACUUAGGCUAGGUUGUGCUAGACUUUGCUAGUUUAAAAGAAAUAUACGGGCCAAGCUAGGCUGGGUUUUUUCUACAAAAUCAAAGCCCUAACCUAUCCCAUGGGCUAGGCUUUUACGGUCCUCAUCAGGCUGGGCCAAGUAGGCAAAAUAGGCGGGCUGAAAUAGGCUAACAAUGGGGAAAGAUAAUAAGGCCAUAUUUAUCAUUGGGAUGUUGAUCCUAAUGCUGAUUGGAGGCAACUCUAUCCUCACAAAAAGGGGAUGGAAGGAGGGAAUGAGGUUUAGUGUGUUUUUAUUUUAGAAAAACACUAGCCUCCAUUGUAUUUCUAGUGGCUACAUUGAUUACCAGGUUUGUGUUCACUAUCUUUUUAUUUUUUAUUUUUUUAUUUUUAUUUUUAUUUAUAAAUUUAAUGUGGUUAGGGAUAAGAUCAUACCUUUUAAUGUUUAUUUUCUUUCUCAUUUAACACAAUGUUUUUCUUCUUUCAGAACACCAUGGCCCAAAAUGACGUGCUGGCUUGUCAUUCGGAUCAUAGCAUUGAGUGUACAUGAGUAAGUAACUAGUUCGAAAUAAAAAUGAAGCUUAUUGUUG